UCCGGUGACCGUAUCGGAGGGGUCACACCCGUUCCCAUUCCGAACACGGAAGUUAAGCCCUCUUGAGCCAAUGGUACUGCGCGGGCAACUGCGUGGGAGAGUAGGUAGUCGCCGGAU
RNAcentral lists this ribosomal RNA (117 nucleotides) under Chloracidobacterium sp. The record is from RNAcentral. Lineage: Bacteria; Pseudomonadati; Acidobacteriota; Blastocatellia; Chloracidobacteriales; Chloracidobacteriaceae.